GAACUUUCAAGUUCCAAACUUUAACCAAAAUUCCUUCUCAAUGGCUCCUCAAACUCGAUCAAGCUCUUCAAAAAGGAACAAUUCUUCGCCCGCGGAGGAGUUCGAGCCCGAUAGAGAACUCAAUAAACGUCAAAAGCGACCUCAAUGUCAGGAAGAAUCAUGUUUUCUCACAAAAGAUUGCAUCGAGAGGCAUCAUUCUUGGUUUAUUUCUGGAGAAAUUGUUCCAGGUAGGUUUCUUGAUUUGAAUUACUUCACUCAAGAAGGCUUUCGAUUUGGUAAAUGGUUCAAGGAUAUGGAUUGGGUACCUAUUGUGGUCAUGAGACAAGAAUUCUAUCCUCAGUUGGUGAGGCAUUUUUAUUCCAAUUUAUCAUAUGAUUCUGAUAAAACCUAGAUAUGUUCCUUUGUGAAAGGGAAGGAAAUUAGAUUGAAUCAAGAGUCCUUGAAGAAAAUCCUUGGAAUUCAUAACCUUGGGAGUGAGAUAUAUGACAAUAAUAUGUGGGUAGCGGAUGCUGGAGUCAGUAGAGUAGAAGCCCUUAGAAUGGUUUUUGACAAUCCUGAUUUAUCUGAAGUAUCAAAGGUUAAUGCUUGCCACUUGAAACUAGAAAUGAGAUUGCUUCACCACAUGGUAGUGCACAUAAUUCUACCUAGAAAAAGGAACUUUAACCAUGUAUCUUCUAUGGAUUUAUUGAUUGUGUGGCAUAUUCUUCAAGGGAAGCCAUUUAAUUUGCCAUUUGCGUUGUUAUCUCAUAUGAUUGCAUGCUCAGAAAAGAAAAAUUCUUAUUUGCCAUAUGGCAUGAUUCUCACAUCUAUCUUCAACAAUUUUAAAGUUUCUCUUGAGGAAGAGGCGGGUGUAGAAUUGAAAGGUUUAGACAUUUACAAUGAGGUUACUUUGCAUAAGAUGGGUUAUGUGAAAGGUGAAAGGGGUUGGUUUCUUAAACAGGAUAAAGCUGUUGUUCAACCAGGUUUAGAAAUCCAAUCUCAGGUGGAUGUGAAUGUCAGUCAAUCUCAAGAUGCUCCUCCUCCCGCCCCUCCUAAGUCAACUUCCCAAAAGACACCUUCAGAUGGCAUUACUUCAAUGUCCGAGUUGAAUCCCACAUCCUCUGCUGCUCCAUCUUUAGAGGGAGCUAGGCAGCCAAGUAUGACUGAAGAUAUUUUCAUCCUUGUAAAGGGCUUGAAGGAAGACAUGGGAAUCAUGACUAUGGACUCCAAGCUGGAUGAUUGGCAAAAUAAAAUUGAACAUUUGCGAUGCCUAGUUAAUCAAGUUCGACGCCGAAGGCAAGAAAAGACCAUUGGAGAUAUUUUCGUCCUACUAGAGGUUAUUAUGGCUGACAUGAGGACUUUGCGCUCCAAGAUGGACAAUUUUGGAAGCAAGAUUAAUCAUUUGCAAGCCCAACUGACUGAAUUUUCUCCAUCAAAGGCAAGAUUUUAUUAAAGUUGAUUAAGAAAGCAUAGAAUGGAUGAUUGCUGACCCAGUUACCUGCAGAGGACGAAACCAAAAUAUUAUUCGUCGCUUUGAGACUAUUGGCAGUGAAAUCCAAGAUUUUUGGGAUUGCUGAUCAUCCUCGAUGAAUGGUGGUGAGUUCCUUUCAACUAGUUAAAGUUUUGCAUAUGGUCUUUUUUUUUUUUUUUUUUUU
This 1634-nucleotide unclassified non-coding RNA is filed under the name Hevea brasiliensis (rubber tree). Lineage: Eukaryota; Viridiplantae; Streptophyta; Magnoliopsida; Malpighiales; Euphorbiaceae. The record is from RNAcentral.